This 73-nucleotide transfer RNA is filed under the name Cryptomonas sp. RNAcentral's name for it is "tRNA-Ala". It matches the Rfam family "tRNA". Rfam says of the family: Transfer RNA (tRNA) molecules are approximately 80 nucleotides in length. Their secondary structure includes four short double-helical elements and three loops (D, anti-codon, and T loops). Further hydrogen bonds mediate the characteristic L-shaped molecular structure. tRNAs have two regions of fundamental functional importance: the anti-codon, which is responsible for specific mRNA codon recognition, and the 3' end, to which the tRNAs corresponding amino acid is attached (by aminoacyl-tRNA synthetases). tRNAs cope with the degeneracy of the genetic code in two manners: having more than one tRNA (with a specific anti-codon) for a particular amino acid; and 'wobble' base-pairing, i.e. permitting non-standard base-pairing at the 3rd anti-codon position. The record is from RNAcentral. Lineage: Eukaryota; Cryptophyceae; Cryptomonadales; Cryptomonadaceae.
GGGCAGUUAGCUCAAAUGGUAGAUGCGCGUGCUUCGCAUGUACGAGAUGGGGGUUCGAUUCCCUCACUGUCCA